UACAAAUAGACAAGAAAACAACAGCAAAUAGAAACAAAAAACAACGGAAUAGCAAAAAGAAGGCUGGUAUUUUCAUUUUUGAUUAUUGUUCGGCUAUAAAAGCCAAAAACCUUUUCAUUGUAACGGAUGAACACACUACAAAAAUUCAAUACAAAAAACCAGCAAAAAAAAUCAGAAGAGGUGACUUUUAGUCUUUAUUCCGACUUGAUUUUCAUUUUCUUUAUUCCGACUUGAUUUUCAUUUUCUUUCUUCGUGUUUUUUUUAUUUAGUGUAAAAUAAAAAGAGGAAGGAACUAACCCGUGUUUGGAAGGCUUUGAAUCUCUGCUUGUUUCGUCAUAAUCGAAACUUGGUAGCGAUUUAGAGUUUGCGAGUGAAAGUCACGAACUGGUGGUCCAAUGAAGCCUU
This 405-nucleotide long non-coding RNA is filed under the name Gossypium barbadense (sea-island cotton). RNAcentral's name for it is "long non-coding RNA (GBAR_LNC009567)". Lineage: Eukaryota; Viridiplantae; Streptophyta; Magnoliopsida; Malvales; Malvaceae. The record is from RNAcentral.